AAGUUUUUUCUUGCCUUCUAUGCAAGUCGAGCGGUAUAUAGCUGCUUGCGCCUCUUGCUAACGACGGACGGAUGAGUAAUACCUAGGAAUCUGCCUGGUAGUGGGGGAUAACGUUCGGAAACGGACGCUAAUACCGCAUACGUCCUACCGUAUAAAGCAGGGGACCUUCUGGCCUUGCGCUAUCAGAUGAGCCUAGGUCGGAUUAGCUAGUUGGUGAGGUAAUGGUUCCCCAAGGCUACAAUCCGUAACUGGUCUGAGAGGAUGAUCAGUCACACUGGAACUGAGACACGGUCCCCACUCCUACACGAGGCACCAGUGGGGAAUAUUGGACAAUGGGCGAAAGCCUGAUCCAGCCAUGCCGCGUGUGUGAAGAAGGUCUUCGGAUUGUAAAGCACUUUAUGUUGGGAGGAAGGGCAUUAACCUAAUACGUUAGUGCUUUGACGUUACCGACAGAAUAAGCACCGGCUAACUCUGUGCCAGCAGCCGCGGUAAUACAGAGGGUGCAAGCGUUAAUCGUAAUUACUGGGCGUAAAGCGCGCGUAGGUGGUUUGUUAAGUUGAAUGAGAAAUCCCCGGGCUCAACCUGGGAACUGCAUCCCAAACUGCCGAGCUAGACUAUGGUAGAAGGUGGUGGAAUUUCCUGUGUAGCGGAGAAAAGCGUAGAUAUAAGAUGGAACACUAUUGGCGAAGGCGACCACCUGGACUGAUACUGACACUGAUGUGCUAAAGCGUGGGGAGCAAACAGGAUUAGAUACCCUGCUAGUCCACACCGCAAACGAUGUCAACUACCCGUUGGGAGUCUUGUACUCUUAUUGGCGCAGCUACCCCUUUUUUUGACCGCCUGGUGAGUACUGGCCGCUUGGUAAAACUCAAAUAAUUUGACGGGGGCGCGCCCAAGCAGGUGGAGUAUGGGGGUUAAUUUCUUAGGAGCGCUGAGGAACAUUACUAAGCUCUUGACAUCAUUGAACUUUCUUAUAUAGUUUGUUGCCUUCGUAACAUUGAUACUAGCGCUGCUUGGCUGUCGUCGCUCGCGUCGUGAGAAUGUUGGGUUUAGUUCCCUCACCAGCAGCGACCCUUGCUCUUA
This 1083-nucleotide ribosomal RNA is filed under the name Pseudomonas fluorescens. RNAcentral describes it as "bacterial SSU rRNA". It matches the Rfam family "Bacterial small subunit ribosomal RNA", at positions 33 to 1113 of the family's 1533-position model. Lineage: Bacteria; Pseudomonadati; Pseudomonadota; Gammaproteobacteria; Pseudomonadales; Pseudomonadaceae. The record is from RNAcentral.